RNAcentral lists this ribosomal RNA (468 nucleotides) under uncultured bacterium. Its description in RNAcentral is "partial 16S ribosomal RNA". It matches the Rfam family "Bacterial small subunit ribosomal RNA", at positions 28 to 507 of the family's 1533-position model. The record is from RNAcentral.
GACGAACGCUGGCGGCGUGCUUAACACAUGCAAGUCGAACGGAAAGGCCCUGCUUUUGUGGGGUGCUCGAGUGGCGAACGGGUGAGUAACACGUGAGUAACCUGCCCUUGACUUUGGGAUAACUUCAGGAAACUGGGGCUAAUACCGGAUAGGAGCUCCUGCUGCAUGGUGGGGGUUGGAAAGUUUCGGCGGUUGGGGAUGGACUCGCGGCUUAUCAGCUUGUUGGUGGGGUAGUGGCUUACCAAGGCUUUGACGGGUAGCCGGCCUGAGAGGGUGACCGGCCACAUUGGGACCGAGAUACGGCCCAGACUCCUACGGGAGGCCGCAGUGGGGAAUAUUGCACCAUGGGCGGAAGCCUGAUGCAGCAACGCCGCGUGCGGGAUUACGGCCUUCGGGUUGUAAACCGCUUUCGCCUGUGACGAAGCGUGAGUGACGGUAAUGGGUAAAGAAGCACCGGCUAACUACGUG